GCGAAAGUAGCUCAGUUGGUAGAGCAUCUCGUUGCCAACGAGAAGGUCGCGAGUUCGAGUCUCGUCUUUCGCUCCA
Molecule: transfer RNA, 76 nt
Filed under: Orenia metallireducens
Lineage: Bacteria; Bacillati; Bacillota; Clostridia; Halanaerobiales; Halobacteroidaceae
Description: tRNA-Gly
Rfam family: tRNA
About the family: Transfer RNA (tRNA) molecules are approximately 80 nucleotides in length. Their secondary structure includes four short double-helical elements and three loops (D, anti-codon, and T loops). Further hydrogen bonds mediate the characteristic L-shaped molecular structure. tRNAs have two regions of fundamental functional importance: the anti-codon, which is responsible for specific mRNA codon recognition, and the 3' end, to which the tRNAs corresponding amino acid is attached (by aminoacyl-tRNA synthetases). tRNAs cope with the degeneracy of the genetic code in two manners: having more than one tRNA (with a specific anti-codon) for a particular amino acid; and 'wobble' base-pairing, i.e. permitting non-standard base-pairing at the 3rd anti-codon position.
Source: RNAcentral